Molecule: transfer RNA, 82 nt
Filed under: Sphingobacteriales bacterium
Lineage: Bacteria; Pseudomonadati; Bacteroidota; Sphingobacteriia; Sphingobacteriales
Description: tRNA-Leu
Rfam family: tRNA
About the family: Transfer RNA (tRNA) molecules are approximately 80 nucleotides in length.
Source: RNAcentral
GCGGAUGUGGCGUAAUUGGUAGCCGCGCCAGACUUAGGAUCUGGUGUUGAAAGACGUGGGGGUUCGAGUCCCUUCAUCCGCA